GCUACGACCAUACCACCCUGAACAAGCCUGAUCCUGUCUGAUCUCGAAAGCUAAGCAGAGUCGGGCCUGGUUAGUACUUGGAUGGAAGAUCACCUAGGAAGACCAGGUGCUGUGAGUG
RNAcentral lists this ribosomal RNA (118 nucleotides) under Pteropus vampyrus (large flying fox). The record is from RNAcentral. Lineage: Eukaryota; Metazoa; Chordata; Mammalia; Chiroptera; Pteropodidae.